Long non-coding RNA from Numida meleagris (helmeted guineafowl), 1362 nucleotides. RefSeq lists it as uncharacterized. The record is from RefSeq and is a predicted model, not a curated record. Lineage: Eukaryota; Metazoa; Chordata; Aves; Galliformes; Numididae. The transcript has 2 exons.
UUCCUUCUAUCUUUGGGAAAUAGAAAUGAUAUGUUUCUACUUCACUGACAAAUUGGAAAAAUAAUUUCAUUAAAAGUGGGUCUCAAAGGAGAAAUUAGGGUCCACAGAUAUUGGGUUUGGUUUCCAUUCCUAAAAGAAGGAAACUCCUCUGUCUCUCUCCUUUAUAUACAUAUAUCAAUCUCUGCAUAUGCAUUAAAUUGGUAAGGUGGCAAAGUGCAUAUCAAGCCUCUUUAUGAUGUCCUAAAAGAGACCAUGCAAUUGCUGAGGGUUAAUAGCUUUCUCCUCCCACAGCAGCAAGAAUUAAGCCACAACGUGUAGUGUUCCCAUGUGCAAGUCCUUUACACCUUAUGAACCAAGGUUUGACGCUAGUAAUUGAAAUCACACAAGUACAUAGGCUUUUCCCUGGACUGAACCUCAUCUGUAAAUUGAGAAGCACUUCACAAGUCUGGAUGUCACAGGUUGUGACGCUAUUACCCAAGGAGGGGACCUUAUUACAGCAUUUAACAAACAGGAGUUGAUGCAUUCUAUUUUCCUUUAGCAAACGUUAUUUAAGCUAAACAAUGAGGAGACUUCCCCCACGCCCCGAAGGAUCAGAAAUGAAAUUCCUUUCAGCCUUAGCUCUCACAUUUGUGUAUGACUCAGAUGGUUAAGAUCUCCCCUCCCUGCUUUCAGUCUCUCAGCCACAAAGAGCUAAGAAAGAAAAUAAAUUCCUUUCUAAAAAUGAGGUCCUGAAGGGAAAUCAUUCAGAUGCAGUAGGAGUUUGCUUCACUGCAGCCAAGGAGUAUGAAAAACCCACGGCAUGCAAGUGGACAAGAUGAGCACCAUGAGACAUGCCUCACUGCUUGUGUUGAUAACAGAUGUGUUCUGAAAAAGCCAAACAGAAGAGUCAGGAGAAGUGGGUCUGUGAAUGUGGAGUGUUUCUCACAGGCUUAGGUGUCUACUGAAGCUAGAAGAAACUCCUUUCUCUCUGAGAAUACUUGGAACCAACAUCACCUCUAGGAGGGUGCCAAACGUGUUUUCCAGGAUGACGCCAUGAAGACUUUCGUGGCCUUUUAAAAUUGUUAUAUUUGAAGGUGAGCUUUCCUUUGACAAACAGCCUGUGCAGCCAGAGCAACUGGUGAGAACAAUGAGUCAUAAAAAGUCUGUUAUUAAAAACGUUUGCUUUGUUCACAUCCUGAAUUGAUUUCCUCUAAUGAUUUCCCUCUGACGGCUGUGGUCAAAAAUAAUAACAGUAAUAAUAAAAUAAGAGAAUAUGCCCCUCCCUGGUUCCUCUAAUAGAGGCUUUGCACUCCAUGUGUUGACAGAGCAGCCCUGAAAAUAAGACUAAUAAGUGAAUUCAAUAAUAAACUAAAGGAAAAUAGA